UGUGUAAUCUAAUGCUAUCCACAUGGGUUUGUUAUGUAUGCUCUGAUGUUCACUGUGCUUUAUGAAAAAGUACUGUUUGCUGACUUUUGACUUUCCGGUCCUUUUGGUUGUACCGCUUUUUUUACCAGCACUGACCAUGCCUACAGUAUAUGGCACACAUACAAAGAACAAAUGGCAUUCGCCCCAAACCAAACCCAACAUCAUUCGGUGUUAAAGAGACAGGUUGAUAUCAUAACAUAGAAUAAUUCCUCUAAAUGUAUUCAUGUUUUAGUAAGCAAAAGCUGCAUUAAACAACACAAACUAAAGUGUAAUUUAAGUGUAAUUAUGAUCAAUAUAACUCAAUUCAAAUCUAAGAAACAUGCUCAUUAAAGGUGAAAAGGACAAAAUUGUGACCAAAGCAAGUGUAAAUCUAUAUUCUUGCAAUGUGAAUACGCCUUAUAGGCUUAUUAUUAUUAUGCUUAUUUGGCUUCUUGGUCCGAUCAAAGACUCAGAGUUCAGAUAAAACCAAGAUGGGCCAGUAGGGUAUCAUACAUGUGAGAGUGUUUACAGUGUGUGUGUGUGUGUUGUCACUGCUCAUAGUACAACAUUCAAGCAUCACUAGGAGUGAAUUUGAAAUGCGAUGAAGAGUGAGAUUGUGAUGUUUUUUUGUUGAGAAACUAUAUUUAAGCUACAUUUAGUAUAUGUAGAUAUUGCUUUUUAAAAAGUAUUUAUUUUAAGAAAUGUGAACAGAUUCAGAUAUAUUGUGUUGAGUGGUUGCUUACACAUACAGUACAGUACAUACCAGUGUUAACCUAAAUAUGAUAUGUGUCAUCAGGGUACAACAAAAACAAUAAAUCUCAUUCUCCAUUCC
Sander lucioperca (pikeperch) is the source of this 850-nucleotide long non-coding RNA. RefSeq lists it as uncharacterized. NCBI's taxonomy places the organism in Eukaryota, Metazoa, Chordata, Actinopteri, Perciformes, Percidae. The record is from RefSeq and is a predicted model, not a curated record. The transcript has 2 exons.